CGCGGCCUAUCAGCUUGUUGGUGGGGUAACGGCCUACCAAGGCGGUGACGGGUAGCUGGCGUGAGAGCGUGGCCAGCCACACUGGGACUGAGACACGGCCCAGACUCCUACGGGAGGCAGCAGUAGGGAAUCUUGCGCAAUGGGCGAAAGCCUGACGCAGCGACGCCGCGUGAGGGAUGAAGGCCUUCGGGUUGUAAACCUCUUUCAGUAGGGAAGAAGCGAAAGUGACGGUACCUGCAGAAGAAGCGCCGGCUAACUACGUGCCAGCAGCCGCGGUAAUACGUAGGGCGCAAGCGUUAUCCGGAAUUAUUGGGCGUAAAGAGCUCGUAGGCGGUUUGUCGCGUCUGCCGUGAAAGUCCGGGGCUCAACUCCGGAUCUGCGGUGGGUACGGGCAGACUAGAGUGAUGUAGGGGAGACUGGAAUUCCUGGUGUAGCGGUGAAAUGCGCAGAUAUCAGGAGGAACACCGAUGGCGAAGGCAGGUCUCUGGGCAUUACCUGACGCUGAGGAGCGAAAGUGUGGGGAGCGAACAGGAUUAGAUACCCUGGUAGUCCACACCGUAAACGUUGGGCGCUAGGUGUGGGACUCAUUCCACGAGUUCCGUGCCGCAGCUAACGCAUUAAGCGCCCCGCCUGGGGAGUACGG
Molecule: ribosomal RNA, 643 nt
Filed under: uncultured Actinomycetes bacterium
Lineage: Bacteria; Bacillati; Actinomycetota; Actinomycetes
Description: bacterial SSU rRNA
Rfam family: Bacterial small subunit ribosomal RNA
Source: RNAcentral